Molecule: ribosomal RNA, 284 nt
Filed under: Pseudomonas sp.
Lineage: Bacteria; Pseudomonadati; Pseudomonadota; Gammaproteobacteria; Pseudomonadales; Pseudomonadaceae
Description: partial 16S ribosomal RNA
Rfam family: Bacterial small subunit ribosomal RNA
Source: RNAcentral
UAGGUCGGAUUAGCUAGUUGGUGGGGUAAUGGCUCACCAAGGCGACGAUCCGUAACUGGUCUGAGAGGAUGAUCAGUCACACUGGAACUGAGACACGGUCCAGACUCCUACGGGAGGCAGCAGUGGGGAAUAUUGGACAAUGGGCGAAAGCCUGAUCCAGCCAUGCCGCGUGUGUGAAGAAGGUCUUCGGAUUGUAAAGCACUUUAAGUUGGGAGGAAGGGCAGUAAAUUAAUACUUUGCUGUUUUGACGUUACCGACAGAAUAAGCACCGGCUAACUCUGUGC